AGCAGUCGCCGCGGGAAUACGUAGGUGGCAAGCGUUGUCCGGAAUUAUUGGGCGUAAAGGGCUCGCAGGCGGUUUCUUAAGUCUGAUGUGAAAGCCCCCGGCUCAACCGGGGAGGGUCAUUGGAAACUGGGAAACUUGAGUGCAGAAGAGGAGAGUGGAGUUCCACGUGUAGCGGUGAAAUGCGUAGAGAUGUGGAGGAACACCAGUGGCGAAGGCGACUCUCUGGUCUGUAACUGACGCUGAGGAGCGAAAGCGUGGGGAGCGAACAGGAUUAGAGACCCCAGUAGUCCCUGUCUCUUAUAC
Molecule: ribosomal RNA, 303 nt
Filed under: uncultured bacterium
Lineage: Bacteria
Description: partial 16S ribosomal RNA
Rfam family: Bacterial small subunit ribosomal RNA
Source: RNAcentral